UAGGGAAUCUUCCACAAUGGACGCAAGUCUGAUGGAGCAACGCCGCGUGAGUGAAGAAGGCUUUCGGGUCGUAAAACUCUGUUGUUGGAGAAGAAUGGUCGGCAGAGUAACUGUUGUCGGCGUGACGGUAUCCAACCAGAAAGCCACGGCUAACUACGUGCCAGCAGCCGCGGUAAUACGUAGGUGGCAAGCGUUAUCCGGAUUUAUUGGGCGUAAAGCGAGCGCAGGCGGUUUUUUAAGUCUGAUGUGAAAGCCCUCGGCUUAACCGAGGAAGUGCAUCGGAAACUGGGAAACUUGAGUGCAGAAGAGGACAGUGGAACUCCAUGUGUAGCGGUGAAAUGCGUAGAUAUAUGGAAGAACACCAGUGGCGAAGGCGGCUGUCUGGUCUGUAACUGACGCUGAGGCUCGAAAGCAUGGGUAGCGAACAGGAUUAGAUACCCUGGUAGUCCAUG
RNAcentral lists this ribosomal RNA (452 nucleotides) under uncultured bacterium. Its description in RNAcentral is "partial 16S ribosomal RNA". It matches the Rfam family "Bacterial small subunit ribosomal RNA", at positions 355 to 799 of the family's 1533-position model. The record is from RNAcentral.